AUUGAACGCUGGCGGCAUGCUUUACACAUGCAAGUCGAACGGCAGCGCGGGCCUCGGCCUGGCGGCGAGUGGCGAACGGGUGAGUAAUGCAUCGGAACGUGCCCAGUAGUGGGGGAUAGCCCGGCGAAAGCCGGAUUAAUACCGCAUACGACCUGAGGGUGAAAGCGGGGGACCGAAAGGCCUCGCGCUAUUGGAGCGGCCGAUGUCGGAUUAGCUAGUUGGUGGGGUAAAGGCUUACCAAGGCGACGAUCCGUAGCUGGUCUGAGAGGACGACCAGCCACACUGGGACUGAGACACGGCCCAGACUCCUACGGGAGGCAGCAGUGGGGAAUUUUGGACAAUGGGGGCAACCCUGAUCCAGCCAUGCCGCGUGCGGGAAGAAGGCCUUCGGGUUGUAAACCGCUUUUGUUCGGGAAGAAAUCCUCUGGGCUAAUACCCCGGGGGGAUGACGGUACCGGAAGAAUAAGCACCGGCUAACUACGCG
RNAcentral lists this ribosomal RNA (484 nucleotides) under uncultured bacterium. RNAcentral's name for it is "partial 16S ribosomal RNA". It matches the Rfam family "Bacterial small subunit ribosomal RNA", at positions 28 to 507 of the family's 1533-position model. The record is from RNAcentral.